This 71-nucleotide transfer RNA is filed under the name Loxodonta africana (African savanna elephant). It matches the Rfam family "tRNA". Rfam says of the family: Transfer RNA (tRNA) molecules are approximately 80 nucleotides in length. Their secondary structure includes four short double-helical elements and three loops (D, anti-codon, and T loops). The record is from Rfam by way of RNAcentral. Lineage: Eukaryota; Metazoa; Chordata; Mammalia; Proboscidea; Elephantidae.
UCACUGGUAGUUCAGUGGUAGAAUCCUUGCCUUCCAUGCAGGAGACGCGGGUUCAAUUCCUGGUCAGUACA